UGGGGAAUCUUGCGCAAUGGGGGCAACCCUGACGCAGCGACGCCGCGUGCGGGACGAAGGCCUUCGGGUCGUAAACCGCUUUCAGCAGGGACGAGACAAGACGGUACCUGCAGAAGAAGCCCCGGCUAACUACGUGCCAGCAGCCGCGGUAAUACGUAGGGGGCGAGCGUUAUCCGGAUUCAUUGGGCGUAAAGCGCGCGUAGGCGGCCGCGUAGGCGGGGGGUCAAAUCCCGGGGCUCAACCCCGGUCCGCCCCCCGAACCCCGCGGCUCGGGUCCGGUAGGGGAGGGUGGAAUUCCCGGUGUAGCGGUGGAAUGCGCAGAUAUCGGGAGGAACACCGGUGGCGAAGGCGGCCCUCUGGGCCGAGACCGACGCUGAGGCGCGAAAGCUGGGGGAGCGAA
This 400-nucleotide ribosomal RNA is filed under the name uncultured bacterium. Its description in RNAcentral is "bacterial SSU rRNA". It matches the Rfam family "Bacterial small subunit ribosomal RNA", at positions 355 to 772 of the family's 1533-position model. The record is from RNAcentral.